RNAcentral lists this ribosomal RNA (791 nucleotides) under Streptomyces sp. RNAcentral describes it as "bacterial SSU rRNA". It matches the Rfam family "Bacterial small subunit ribosomal RNA", at positions 62 to 868 of the family's 1533-position model. The record is from RNAcentral. Lineage: Bacteria; Bacillati; Actinomycetota; Actinomycetes; Kitasatosporales; Streptomycetaceae.
UCGAACGAUGAACCACUUCGGUGGGGAUUAGUGGCGAACGGGUGAGUAACACGUGGGCAAUCUGCCCUUCACUCUGGGACAAGCCCUGGAAACGGGGUCUAAUACCGGAUAUCACUCCUGCAGGCAUCUGCGGGAGUCGAAAGCUCCGGCGGUGAAGGAUGAGCCCGCGGCCUAUCAGCUUGUUGGUGAGGUAGUGGCUCACCAAGGCGACGACGGGUAGCCGGCCUGAGAGGGCGACCGGCCACACUGGGACUGAGACACGGCCCAGACUCCUACGGGAGGCAGCAGUGGGGAAUAUUGCACAAUGGGCGAAAGCCUGAUGCAGCGACGCCGCGUGAGGGAUGACGGCCUUCGGGUUGUAAACCUCUUUCAGCAGGGAAGAAGCGAAAGUGACGGUACCUGCAGAAGAAGCGCCGGCUAACUACGUGCCAGCAGCCGCGGUAAUACGUAGGGCGCAAGCGUUGUCCGGAAUUAUUGGGCGUAAAGAGCUCGUAGGCGGCUUGUCACGUCGGGUGUGAAAGCCCGGGGCUUAACCCCGGGUCUGCAUUCGAUACGGGCUAGCUAGAGUGUGGUAGGGGAGAUCGGAAUUCCUGGUGUAGCGGUGAAAUGCGCAGAUAUCAGGAGGAACACCGGUGGCGAAGGCGGAUCUCUGGGCCAUUACUGACGCUGAGGAGCGAAAGCGUGGGGAGCGAACAGGAUUAGAUACCCUGGUAGUCCACGCCGUAAACGGUGGGAACUAGGUGUUGGCGACAUUCCACGUCGUCGGUGCCGCAGCUAACGCAUUAAGUUCC